GAUGAAGAACGUAGCGAAAUGCGAUAAUUAAUGUGAAUUGCAGAAUUCCGUGAAUCAUCGAGUCUUUGAACGCACAUUGCGCCUCAUGGCAUUCCGUGAGGCAUGCCCAUCUCAGCGUUAGAAAAUAUUCUCAAAUUUUAGUUUUGUGCUAAAAUUUGGAUCACGUCAAGGAAGCUAUUACUAUUAUUGUGAUCGCUCUUUGGAAAUUGAUAGGUCUUUGAGUUGCUACUCAUAGAACGUGAUGAAUCUUUCUUCGUUCUAUUGUAAUUCACUCUGGUAGUCCUAAAACUUGUAUGCCUGUGGCAUAUCUUGUAAUUUGACCUGAGAUUGGGUAGGGAUACCCGCUGAACUUAAGCAUAUCAAUAAGCGGAGGA
RNAcentral lists this unclassified non-coding RNA (374 nucleotides) under soil metagenome. RNAcentral describes it as "partial contains internal transcribed spacer 2 and large subunit ribosomal RNA". The stretch from base 1 to 120 matches the Rfam family "5.8S ribosomal RNA", at positions 35 to 154 of the family's 154-position model. The record is from RNAcentral.